This 460-nucleotide ribosomal RNA is filed under the name uncultured bacterium. RNAcentral describes it as "partial 16S ribosomal RNA". It matches the Rfam family "Bacterial small subunit ribosomal RNA", at positions 338 to 795 of the family's 1533-position model. The record is from RNAcentral.
CCUACGGGAGGCAGCAGUGAGGAAUAUUGGUCAAUGGACGCGAGCCUGAACCAGCCAAGUAGCGUGCAGGAUGACUGCCCUACGGGUUGUAAACUUCUUUUAUACAGGAAUAAAUUGAGACACGUGUGCCUUUUUGUAUGUACUUUAUGAAUAAGGAUCGGCUAACUCCGUGCCAGCAGCCGCGGUAAUACGGAGGAUCCGAGCGUUAUCCGGAUUUAUUGGGUUUAAAGGGAGCGUAGAUGGGUUGUUAAGUUAGUUGUGAAAGUUUGCGGCUCAACCGUAAAAUUGCAAUUGAUACUGGCAGUCUUGAGUACAGUUGAGGUAGGCGGAAUGUGUGGUGUAGCGGUGAAAUGCUUAGAGAUCACGAAGAACUCCGAUUGCGAAGGCAGCUUACUAAACUGCCACUGACAUUGAGGCUCGAAAGUGUGGGGAUCAAACAGGAUUAGAUACCCUUGUAGUC